This 63-nucleotide transfer RNA is filed under the name Candidatus Portnoyibacteriota bacterium. Its description in RNAcentral is "tRNA-Val". It matches the Rfam family "tRNA", at positions 10 to 71 of the family's 71-position model. From Rfam's summary of the family: Transfer RNA (tRNA) molecules are approximately 80 nucleotides in length. Their secondary structure includes four short double-helical elements and three loops (D, anti-codon, and T loops). Lineage: Bacteria; Candidatus Portnoyibacteriota. The record is from RNAcentral.
GCUCAGUGGUAGAGCGUUCGCUUCACAUGCGAAAGGUCGAAGGUUCGAAACCUUCUACACCCA